UAUAAGGGAGGGCGGGGCAUAAUCUAGGUUUCUGAAGUUUUUGUCCAGGAUGGAAAGCUGGGAUCUGUAGGGUUUCUUUUUCCCCUCUCUUGGUUGCUGUCUUAGGAGUUUUCUGAUGCUUGGAGCUGGUGAUAUUUGAAAGUGCUGUCACCAUCUUAAAAUUUUAGAAGAGGAUGUGGCCAAGACAGUGAAGGCACAAAGAAGAAAUAUGCAGAGAGCCAUGGUCCUUGAGGGUGUUGCCAGGCUGAGAAUCCGUCCUGCUUCUGCCCGUCUCUAAAGACUCCAGUAUCAACCAGAUUCUUACUGGGAAGUACCAGCCAGAUAGUGGAAGCCGAAGUACCAGCAUGUGCCUUUUCUACAUCAGGUAAGUUCUCUCGGCAGCAGUUUUCAGCAGUAUGGCAGCAGUAUGUCUUCAGUUUCCACAAUCACAAAGAAGACAGGGGUUUUGCUGUUUUCUAUUAAUCAAGACUCAUGAAUGCACGAAUACCAUUUCCCCU
This is a long non-coding RNA of Bos indicus x Bos taurus (hybrid cattle), 497 nucleotides long. The record is from Ensembl. NCBI's taxonomy places the organism in Eukaryota, Metazoa, Chordata, Mammalia, Artiodactyla, Bovidae.